AAUCAUCCACAGCCUAGCAGAUGAACAACACUCCCUGAACCCAGGAAGCAGGAGGGUGAUCACCUGUUGGGAGCUAUUAAGACAACACAAUUGUCCUGAUCUCUGAAUUGGGCCUCUCCCCCCAAGAAGAAAAAGGGGUCAAAAGCGGGCCACCGACACACCGUUCCGAGAACAACCACAGAAUGUUCCAGCCCUAAAUCAGCGCCAGAUAUCUGGACCACACCCUGAUACCACCAAGUUCCAGCUUCCCCGUGUAACUGCCAAAAGAAAAAUUUCCACUGCCCCACCCCUCCCGCUGAUAAGUACUUGUACUUCCCCUUUUGCUUGUGCAUUUAAGCCUUGAGCCUUUCUCAAUACAGCGGGACCUUCUUGCCACUCA
This is a long non-coding RNA of Mus musculus (house mouse), 379 nucleotides long. RefSeq annotates it as predicted gene, 51802. NCBI's taxonomy places the organism in Eukaryota, Metazoa, Chordata, Mammalia, Rodentia, Muridae. The transcript is spliced from 2 exons. The record is from RefSeq and is marked validated.